UUCCUACAAACAAAACAAAGAUAAGAAAUUUCUAUGUGUUUUCUUCGGUAGCAAGCUUAUCCACAAUUAAUGUCAUCUUACUAUGAAAUUCGAAGCAUCUUCCAACCAACGUCGAAAUUAAUGGUCAUAGACUCAUACGUGUUCUAUAUAUCUAAUGAAUCAGAUUUAUGGUUACGUCAAAGAACAUAAAAAGCCAAUGGGCUGAGGUCGUGUACAUAUAUUUAUAAAACAUCUUUAUUUUACUACUUUUGUUAAAUUCUUCUUCUUCUUCAGCUGGAAAAAUAUGGAAAAUGGCGGUUUGAUCUCCGGUAAUAGGCCGGUGAUCAUGGUUACGAAUGACGACGGCAUUGGUGCCUCGGGAUCGCUAGCUCUGGUUCAAGUUCUAGUCUCGGCUAGUCGCUAUGUUGUUCAAGUUUGUGCACCUGACUCGGGCUCUAGUGGAUUGUGUUUCUUUAGGAAUCUCUAAAGCACUUUUUCUUUCAGUCCCCGAUCUGGUAUUUUUUUUUAAUUUUCGUGUUAAUUAACAAGCAUAUUACCUUAUAACUAAUAUCAACUUCGUUUUCAGUUAUUUUUAUCUUUUGGAAUUAUUUCACAAAUACACAAAAAUAACAAAAAAAUUACAAAAAUAUGAUUUAAUUGAAUUUUAAACAUUUUUACAAUUUUUUUUGAUUUUAUUUACAGAAAAUACGGUCUUUUUAUUUUGUACUCAUGUUAAUUUUUUGUUGUUGUUUUGAUGUUAUUUGGAUGUUAUUUUCUUGUUAGUUUUAUGUAGUUUUUUUGUUGUUUUCAUGUUGUUUCUGUGGAAAACCAUAAAAAUGUAAAAAGAAUUCUUUAAACGUAAAAUUAUAAUUUUUUCUACAAAAAAUAAUACCUUAUGUAAUUUCUUUUGGCUACUAAUUAUGGUGCAUCGACUGUUAUAUUAUUUUAUAUAUAUAAUGUUUAGAUUAAAUAAUUAAGUGUGAUAAAUUAUUAUGAUGUCAAAUUGUAACAUAUAUUAUAAAGUUACAAAAUGUGUGUAGAAUGAUCAUAAAAUAGGAGUUGCAAAUCCUUUAAUUUGAUGAUAACUUGAAUAUGUAAAUUUACUUCUUUUUUUUUUUUGCCUUUAAAUUAGUAAAAGAUCUUACUAAUUGUUUAUGAAUGAUAACUAUUGAAAAUAUAGCUGUUGGAGACUUGAUUUAUUCAUUUAUAAAGUGUAUAAAUGAAUCAAAAUCAAGUGAAAGUGAUUUGAAACAUUUUGGAAAAGAAUCGGUCAAAGUUGAUAAAAUAGUAACUAGUAACUACUUACUUUUUUUAACAUACAAGUGCAUACGUUUUUUAAAGUAUGGGAGUCUUUUUAACAACCCAAAACUCAUCCAAAUCACCCAAUUAACACUGUAAACGGCCAAUUUAUAAUUGGCAACAUCCAAUGGUUUUAUGGUGGUCAUUUUUGUUCAUAUGGGAGUAAAAACUCUAUAAAUAGAUAUCAUAUUGCUCACUUGUGAGAGAUGUAGUUGAAAUUAUUUGUUGUGGCUAGAAUUUUGUGAUGAUAUGUUCAUCCUUAGACACUAUGAUGAGCAUAUAAGGCUUGAUAAAUCCUUAAGAGCAUUUCUAGAGUUUUCCUAAGUGUCCAUAUGAUGGAGGAAAUGACUUUUAGGACAAAGGCCCUUGGGUCUUGGUCAAGCUUAUUGCGUGCUAUUCUUCUUUUUCUCUAGCUUUUUUGUAAUCUUGAUGUAAUAUUUUUAUUUGUAAUUUGAGUAUUUUGAUUCUAAUCUUCCUAUUCCCUCUUGUAAUGAGAACAUUUUCCAACAAUCUAAAAGUCAUUUUGAUGGCAUAUUCUUCUUUCUAAAAGACUUGUCAUGGAGGUCAUACAAUCAAACAAAGUUAUCCAUGAGGGAGAGCAUCAAUUAGGAUCAUGAGAAAAAAAUAUGUGAUAAGAGAUUCAAGCCAUCCAUGGGUAAGCAUGGUGGAUUUAUUUUGUGAUAUACUAUUUAUUUGAUAUUAAUAUAUUAAUAUAUUCAUAUGAUGAGAUAUGAUAUUUUGGUAGAGAUUUUUUACAUGUUAAUAUAUAUGAUAGAUAUGUGUAUAUUAUAUUAUUAUAAAUAGAGAUAUAUAAAAUUAUAAUUGAGAUUAUAACAUAUUAGUAUAUGUAUAUAUAUGAGAGAAAUAUAUCUCAUAUAACAUGUGACAUAUGUGAGUUAUAUAUUGUUGAGAUUGAGAGAAUCAAGAAAUUGAGAGAAGUAAAGAACAAGAAGAGAAAGAAAAAGACUGAAUCAAGCUCAACCUCAAGUGAGGGAGGAGACUAUUAUUUAUGUAGAACAAUCAAAUAAAUAAUGUGACAGAAUUAGUUAGAAAACUAAUCAAAUAAGCUGUUAAACAACUUUUACAAUUAGUUACAAAGUAGUUUAAAAGACCAACUAACUAACUAAUAUACAAAGAAUAAUAAGUCCUAACACCCUCUAUCAAGUUACACUAGGAUUCCUAAGUGUUAACUUGGACCUAAAUUACUCAAAUUGUGGUAUAGGAAGAGGUUUGGUGAGAAGGUCUACCAUUUGAUGUUCAACAGAGAUGUGUCUUAUGUCAAGCUAAUUUGCAAGAACACGUGUAACGUCCCCGCUUCAAGCCUCCAUUGGGUCCUUACACCCACGAAAUAAUGACUCUUAUACACGAGUACAUCACUCUGGCUGCUUCAUGGACAGAUGACUGACCCUACAGACCAACACAAGUGUUUCUAGCGUGCUUUGUCCUCACUCACAUGCUUCCUGGAAAAACUUCCCAGGAGGUCACCCAUCCUAAAAUUACCCCAGGUCAAGCACGCUUAACUGUGGAGUUCUUUCGAGAUGGGCUACCGAAAAACAAGAUACACCUUGUUGAUAUAGGUAGUACCAAUCAAUCCAUUUAAGCCCUCUUCAACUGUGUAGCUCAUACCUACACAGUCUCAGAAUCAUCCCACUUGACCUUCUCCAAGCGAUGUGGGAUUGCACAGCUUACCCGGUAUUUCCCCUUACGGAUCACGGGACUACUGACUGUCACAAUCACCCCCUUACGGGGUUCGACGUCCUCGUCGACCACACUUCCGGCUGGGUCAAGGCUCUGAUACCAUUUGUAACGUCCUCGCUUCAAGCCUCUAUUGGGUCCUUACACCCAUGGAAUGAAUGAAUCUUAUACACGAGUACGCCACUCUGGCUGCUUCCUAGAUUGAUGACUGACCCUACAGACCAACACGAGUGUUUCCAGUGUGCUUUGAAGAAAGUGUGGUCGACGAGGACAUCAAACCCCAUAAGGGGGUGAUUGUGAGAGUCAGUAGUCCCGUGAUCCGUAAGGGGAAACACCGGGUUAGCUGUGCAAUUGCACACCGCCUGGGAAGGUCAAGUGGGAUGAUUCUGAGACUGUGUAGGUAUGAGACUGCACAGUUGAAGAGAGCUUAAAUGGAUUUAUUGGUACUACCUAUAUUAACAAGGUGCAUCUUGUUUUUCGGUGGCCCAUCUCGAAAUGCUUGACCUGGAGUAAUUUCAGGAUGGGUGACCUCUUGAGAAGUUUUUGUUGGGUUUUAUGCCCUAAAUAAAACUCCAUUUCAAUGUAAUCUAUUUUAUUCAACAUCAAUAAAGAAACAAAAGUAUUUUUCAUUCAUUUGUGUAUGUUUUGGUUCAUCUUAUCAAUUGCUUGUCUAUUUGAUUUAUAAAUUCAUCUAAAACCCUUUUCACAUACUUGAUCCUGUAUAUUGUGUUGUCAACAUAUUGGAAAGUAAACAUGACUAUGUGAAUAAAGUUUUCUAGAUUUAUUAGACACAGGGUUUUACUGAUAUGAUAAUCUACAACAGAGUUUACUUGCAUUUGGAGAAAUGCUAGUUCUUUCCAGAGCAUUGGUUAAAGUAAAGCUCAGGUUGGAUGCAUGGAGUAUGCAUCGGAAGGGACCGAUAUUGAACUUUGACUUAGAUUUAUUAAACUUACCGUAAUAUCUAUUCAAGUCAAUAUCGCCUAGUUGAUCCUAGAUCAAAUGAUCUUAAUCCUGUUAUGAUUAGGCUCAAUCUCAAGAGGUUAUUCGUGUUCUUUGAUUUGUUAGUUAAGCCUAAUUUUGGGUUAGGAUGAUACGUACAUUUUGGGAACACGGUAGUGCAAUUGAGUGGGAGCGCUAACAUAAACAUGGAAUCUAUAGCUUCUAUCUGGCGAAUAUAAGUAAAGGAUGAUCUCCUUCGAGCUUGACUAAACGAAAAUAAAUGAUGGAGUACUCAUUUCACAUAAGCUGAAAUAUCAUUUAUACGGGGUUAAGUGUUUUAAGGAUAAAAUACAUUGUAGGGUGUAACGGUAAUCUAAUCCCUUUACAGUGUAGAUCAUUCAUAUAGAGGAUCAUUGAUCAAAUUAGGAUUAUAACAAUGGAUAACUAAUGAUGUGUCUAUAUGGUGGAACGUAUAGAGCAUUCUAUAUACUGAGAGUGCAAUUCUAAGUUCUAUGCGUGGAUUCAACGAAGAAUUAAUAAGUCAGUGAAUUUAGGUUAUAAAUUCUUGAUCUGCUUAUUGGAAGCUCGGUUAUAUAGACCCAUGGUCCCCCCACUAGUUGAGAUAAUAUUGCUUGUAAGACUCAUAUAAUUGGUUUUGAUUAAUCAAUUAUAAUUCUCAAAUUAGACUAUGUAUAUUUGUGAAUUUUUUCACUAAGUAAGGGCGAAAUUGUAAAGAAAGAGUUUUUAGGGCAUAUUUGUUAAUUAUGAUACUCUGUAUGGUUCAAUUAAUAAAUAUGAUAAAUGACAAUAUUAUUUAAUAAUUAUUUAUAAUUAUUAAAUAGUUAGAAUUGGCAUUUAAAUAGUUGAAUUUGAAAAUUGGCGUUUUUGAGAAAAUGAGAUGCAGAAAUGAUAAAACGGCAAAAUUGCAAAAAGUGAGGCCCAAAUCCACAUUGCCUAGGCCGGCCACUUUUAUAGGCUUUAUCAUCUGAUAUUUUCAUUAUUUUAAUGUCAAAUAAUUCAAACCUAACCCUAGUGGAAGGCUAUAAAUAGAUAGUGAAGGCUUCAGGAAAAUUACACUUUCAUUCAAAAAGAAAAACCUGAGCCUUCUCUUUCUAAAACCCUAGCCGCCACUUUAAACUCUCUUCUUCCCUCUUGAAUUUCGAACCAUUUAGUGAUUAGAGUAGUGCCCACACACAGCAAGUGAUACCUCAAUCAUAGUGAGGCAGAUCGUGAAGAAAGACUUUCAACAAGAAGGAGUUUCAGCACUAAAGAAGGAGAGAAAGAGAUCCAGGUUCAGAUCUUGAUAAUACUCUGCGACAGAAAGGAUACAAGGGUUAGAGAUCUGAACGGAAGGAGUCAUAUUAUUCCGCUGCACCCAAUGUAAGGUUUCUAAUACUUUAUAUGUGUUUAUUUCAUGAUCGUUUUAGAAGUUCAUAUUUAGGGUGUUAAUCAACAUACUUGUGAGUAGAUCUAAGAUCCUGGUAAAAUAAUUUCCAACAGUUUUCUUGGGAAGCGUGCGAGUGAGGACAAAGCACGCUGGAAACACUCGUGUUGGUCUGCAGGGUCAAUCAUCAGUCCAUGAAGCAGCCAGAGUGACGUACUCGUUUAUAAGAGCCAUUCAUUCAGUGGGUGUAAGGACCCAAUGGAGGCUUGAGGCGGGGACGUUACAAAUGGUAUCAAAGCCUUGACCCAGCUGGAAGUGUGGUCGACGAGGACGUCAAACCCCGUAAGGGGGGGGUGAUUGUGACAGUCAGUAGUCCCGUGAUCCGUAAGGGGAAAUACCGGGUAAGCUGUGCAAUCCCACAUCGCCUGGGGAAGGUCAAGUGGGAUGAUUCUGAGACUGUGUAGGUAUGGGACUACACAGUUGAAGAGGGCUUAAAUAGAUUGAUUGGUACUACCUAUAUCAACAAGGUGCAUCUUGUUUUU
Cannabis sativa is the source of this 5838-nucleotide RNA transcript. RefSeq lists it as uncharacterized. NCBI's taxonomy places the organism in Eukaryota, Viridiplantae, Streptophyta, Magnoliopsida, Rosales, Cannabaceae. The transcript is spliced from 2 exons. The record is from RefSeq and is a predicted model, not a curated record.